GGCCGCAUCGCGUUAAAAUAUUGGUUCCUGUAUGAUCACUGAAGUUAAUCAACGUCGAGCCUGGUCAGUAUCUAGAUGGGUUACCGCUUGAGAAUACCAGGUGCCGUAAG
Molecule: non-coding RNA, 110 nt
Organism: Acanthosepion pharaonis
Lineage: Eukaryota; Metazoa; Mollusca; Cephalopoda; Sepiida; Sepiidae
Source: the annotation of a GenBank genome assembly